Molecule: ribosomal RNA, 253 nt
Filed under: uncultured bacterium
Lineage: Bacteria
Description: partial 16S ribosomal RNA
Rfam family: Bacterial small subunit ribosomal RNA
Source: RNAcentral
GACAGAGGGGGCAAGCGUUGCUCGGAAUUACUGGGCGUAAAGGGCGCGUAGGCGGGAUGGCAAGUCGGUCGUGAAAUCCUUCGGCUCAACCGAAGAACGUCGAUCGAUACUGCUGUUCUUGAGGGUUGCAGAGGAGACUGGAAUUCCCGGUGUAGCGGUGAAAUGUGUAGAGAUCGGGAGGAACACCGGUGGCGAAGGCGGGUCUCUGGGCAAUUCCUGACGCUGAGGCGCGAAAGCGUGGGGAGCAACCGGG